CUCCAUCUUUGUAACUAAUCCGUAACCUACUUGACUUUAACUCGAGCAGCAGCUCACCACUACAAACUCCGCUCUGCUCUGUCAACAUGCCAGACUCUAUUGAAGCUGUGCCAGCUGCAUGCCUUGUCAUCAAGGAGGACGUCGACAAGUGUGUCAGAGGAAAAGGUGCAGAGAGCUGUAAAGAUCUGAUAGAUGCCUUCCAAGCUUGUAUAAAAACCCUGUCAGAGGGGUCAUAACACACAAGAAAUACAUGCUAAUCGUUGCUGUAUCAAAGACCUCCUCUUCCCAGCAUUCCCUUCCUCUUUUGUGCUGGACUGAACCAUCUGACAGACUGAAGAGGGGGGGUGAUGACACUAAGAUUCUGAUACUGUGCUCUUCUGUAUAUGAGACUAUUUUUUAUGCCACUAUACAAACAUUGAUUAUUAAUACACUGUAAAUCUUUAAUGCAGAAAAAUAAAUUAAAUAAAUAGCUUGUGUUUUUUAUUACACAGAUCAUACUGUUUUCUUUUCUGGUCACAUGUGUUACAAUGUUAGCAUAGUUACAUUCUAAUAAUAUCACAUGUAGGCUACUAGCUGUUGGAAACGCUACACUGACCAUUCAAAUCUUCUACA
This is a long non-coding RNA of Labrus mixtus (cuckoo wrasse), 612 nucleotides long. RefSeq lists it as uncharacterized. The record is from RefSeq and is a predicted model, not a curated record. NCBI's taxonomy places the organism in Eukaryota, Metazoa, Chordata, Actinopteri, Labriformes, Labridae. The transcript is spliced from 3 exons.